CCCUUAGAUGUUCUGGGCCGCACGCGCGCUACACUGACGAAUGCAACGAGCUUAUAACCUUGGCCGAAAGGUCUGGGUAAUCUCCAAAUUUCGUCGUGAUGGGGAUAGAUUAUUGCAAUUAUUAAUCUUCAACGAGGAAUGCCUAGUAAGCGCAAGUCAUCAACUUGCGUUGAUUACGUCCCUGCCCUUUGUACACACCGCCCGUCGCUCCUACCGAUUGAAUGGUCCGGUGAAGCGCUCGGACCGCGGCCUCUUGACGGUUUUCCGUCGAUUGGCUGUGGGAAGUUCGUUAAACCUUAUCAUUUAGAGGAAGGAGAAGUCGUAACA
RNAcentral lists this ribosomal RNA (327 nucleotides) under uncultured eukaryote. RNAcentral's name for it is "partial 18S ribosomal RNA". It matches the Rfam family "Eukaryotic small subunit ribosomal RNA", at positions 1470 to 1796 of the family's 1831-position model. The record is from RNAcentral.